CACGUAGGGACCAAGCGUUGUCCGGAUUCAUUGGGCGUAAAGAGCUCGUAGGCGGCUCAGUAAGUCGGGUGUGAAACCUUCAGGCUCAACCUGGAGACGCCACCCGAUACUGCUGUGGCUAGAGUCCAGUAGGGGAGCGUGGAAUUCCUGGUGUAGCGGUGAAAUGCGCAGAUAUCAGGAAGAACACCAAUGGCGAAGGCAGCUCUCUGGGACGGUACUGACGCUGAGACGCGAAAGCGUGGGGAGCGAACAGG
This 254-nucleotide ribosomal RNA is filed under the name uncultured bacterium. RNAcentral's name for it is "partial 16S ribosomal RNA". It matches the Rfam family "Bacterial small subunit ribosomal RNA", at positions 524 to 776 of the family's 1533-position model. The record is from RNAcentral.